CAGUAGCCGCGGGAAUACGAAGGGUGCAAGCGUUACUCGGUAUUACUGGGCGUAAAGCGUGCGUAGGCGGUUUGUUAAGUCUGUUGUGAAAUCCCCGGGCUCAACCUGGGAAUGGCAAUGGAUACUGGCAAGCUAGAGUGUGUCGGAGGAUGGUGGAAUUCCCGGUGUAGCGGUGAAAUGCGUAGAGAUCGGGAGGAACAUCAGUGGCGAAGGCGGCCAUCUGGGACAACACUGACGCUGAGGCACGAAAGCGUGGGGAGCAAACAGGAUUAGAUACCCGCGUAGUCCCUGUCUCUUAUAC
Molecule: ribosomal RNA, 301 nt
Filed under: uncultured bacterium
Lineage: Bacteria
Description: partial 16S ribosomal RNA
Rfam family: Bacterial small subunit ribosomal RNA
Source: RNAcentral